RNAcentral lists this ribosomal RNA (766 nucleotides) under Staphylococcus aureus. RNAcentral describes it as "bacterial SSU rRNA". It matches the Rfam family "Bacterial small subunit ribosomal RNA", at positions 28 to 776 of the family's 1533-position model. Lineage: Bacteria; Bacillati; Bacillota; Bacilli; Caryophanales; Staphylococcaceae. The record is from RNAcentral.
GAUGAACGCUGGCGGCGUGCCUAAUACAUGCAAGUCGAGCGAACGGACGAGAAGCUUGCUUCUCUGAUGUUAGCGGCGGACGGGUGAGUAACACGUGGAUAACCUACCUAUAAGACUGGGAUAACUUCGGGAAACCGGAGCUAAUACCGGAUAAUAUUUUGAACCGCAUGGUUCAAAAGUGAAAGACGGUCUUGCUGUCACUUAUAGGUGGAUCCGCGCUGCAUUAGCUAGUUGGUAAGGUAACGGCCUACCAAGGCAACGAUGCAUAGCCGACCUGAGAGGGUGAUCGGCCACACUGGAACUGAGACACGGUCCAGACUCCUACGGGAGGCAGCAGUAGGGAAUCUUCCGCAAUGGGCGAAAGCCUGACGGAGCAACGCCGCGUGAGUGAUGAAGGUCUUCGGAUCGUAAAACUCUGUUAUUAGGGAAGAACAUAUGUGUAAGUAACUGUGCACAUCUUGACGGUACCUAAUCAGAAAGCCACGGCUAACUACGUGCCAGCAGCCGCGGUAAUACGUAGGUGGCAAGCGUUAUCCGGAAUUAUUGGGCGUAAAGCGCGCGUAGGCGGUUUUUUAAGUCUGAUGUGAAAGCCCACGGCUCAACCGUGGAGGGUCAUUGGAAACUGGAAAACUUGAGUGCAGAAGAGGAAAGUGGAAUUCCAUGUGUAGCGGUGAAAUGCGCAGAGAUAUGGAGGAACACCAGUGGCGAGGGCGACUUUCUGGUCUGUAACUGUCGCUGAUGUGCGAAAGCGUGGGGAUCAAACAGG